AUCAUGUGUGCAUACACAGUCUGAGCAAGAGACACUCAUGUGUAUUUGCCUUCCUUCCAGCCCUAACCCAAGAAACAGAAGAAAAACCAGAAAUCCAGAAGCCUGGUCUUCUUACCGACGAGCCCCCAUAUCCAUCAGAGUCAGGACUGACGGGCUGAGGCUCUUUGUCUGGUUGCUGAGAACUUCAGAGAACAGAUGACGUCAGGGGGGCCCAGCUAGGUCUAUGAAUUCUGAGUACAGUGUGUGUAUCUCAAAUAAUGUGGAAGAAACCACUGGAAGCAGAACCAAAUAGCAUUGAUCCAAGCAGACUGAUCAGCUAUCAAAAGGACAGAAAGAUUGACUUGACUCAACCUCUGUGCAACCUCAAGUUCCUCACUGGCAGUCUUUUCAAGAUAAAGAAAACCUCAUUCUUCCCAUUGUCCUGAGGAAAAGAGAAGAUAAAACUCAGAGGGCUGCGAUGGAUCCUAGUCCAACCCUGUCCCUUGACCCUGAUCCUUCUGGGACAGUGAAUCCAGGACAUGUUUUGGUCCCUCUGUUCAUCCGGCCCAAUAUCUGUCCUCUGAGCCCUGGGCCCCCGCAUCAGCACAGAACCAACCCCUACAACCUGCCACCUUUCUGGGAAGUGGAACUCCCCAAGGCUUUGAGGCUAAGUCUUAGAGGGUGGUCCUCACCUGUCAGUAGACAAGAUGGCUAGGGCCCUACAUGAUAUAGCAGUGACUCUACUGUUGACAGAAUCACAAUACCAGAAAUUUUCAAUCAAGUCCUACCUUAGGUAAUAUAGUAGUUCCCCAAUUCCUCCCUCUUCCCACCACAUUUCCCCACUCCUCUUAAGCACCU
This is a long non-coding RNA of Pteronotus mesoamericanus, 837 nucleotides long. RefSeq lists it as uncharacterized. The transcript is spliced from 3 exons. The record is from RefSeq and is a predicted model, not a curated record. Lineage: Eukaryota; Metazoa; Chordata; Mammalia; Chiroptera; Mormoopidae.